Long non-coding RNA from Xiphias gladius (swordfish), 1036 nucleotides. RefSeq lists it as uncharacterized. The record is from RefSeq and is a predicted model, not a curated record. The transcript has 2 exons. NCBI's taxonomy places the organism in Eukaryota, Metazoa, Chordata, Actinopteri, Istiophoriformes, Xiphiidae.
AAAAAAUCUUCAUCACUAUCUGCAACCAGGAUGGAGGAGCAGGUGAAAUGGAGCUGUCUCUCUUGCAGGGUCUUUUUUUUUUUUCCUCUGGCCCUGGGGGGAACCGAGGUGCUAAGGAGGAGGCGAUGAACUGAAAUUUCAAAAAGCGUGCGCAGUUCUUCACUCUCAGGGAAUGAUGCCAUGGACAUAACCUUCGAUUAACCACCAGCCACGUCAUGGAUGCAGACAGGAUGUUCUCAGCACUCACUCAAGACUUAAAGCUUAACCUCCUGCUUAGGAGUUGCUGAGGUUUGCUUGUCUUUCAUUGCUCAAAAAAAAAUUAUUUCAUGGUCGUGGUUUUCAGGUUGUAAGGAUAAGCUGUGCUUUUACCAGUCAGUCAUUGUACCUUUUACAGUAGGCUACUUUUACAACUUCUGUUAACACGAAUUUGGUAUCGCCCCCCCCCCCCUGCUGCUACCUAACACACUUUCAGCUUAGUGUUACGUUGACCCGAAAAUGCAUUACACUCGUGUAAAUGACACCCAUGCUAACUGUUGCCAAGUAGCUUUAAGACCACUCAUUUAACAGCGUGAGACCUUGAAAGCCUUGCUCAGGUCGACCUGUAGUACACAUGACCUGCAAGUGACUGUGAUAAAUCACUCAGCCCUGAUGAGGUGUUUCACAUAAUCCUAACACAAAGAACCAACUUACUAGUAAUCACAUUGCCAGACUGAUUUGUCUCCCUUUUUUCUUACACUACACUUUAACCUUUGAACUCUUGUGCAUGUCAAGUGAUUGAAAACACACGAGCUGACCCGCAGGCAGGGUUUGUUAUAAGCUGUAGUAUUCAUCGUACAGGAUCUGUCCCCUUUUGCUUUUAUACGCAGUUCUCUUGGCAUCUGUGUUAUGUGCGUUGGUCCUUGCAAUGUUUUUUUUCCCAGAUUUAAAUGGCUUAUGAUUUAAAAUAUACAAACACUGGCUAACUGUGACACUGUUAAUGCAUUGCAUUUUGUUUCUGCAUUUCAAAAAUUGCGUGUAAAUAAAACUAAUGAAAUAA